This 396-nucleotide ribosomal RNA is filed under the name uncultured bacterium. Its description in RNAcentral is "partial 16S ribosomal RNA". It matches the Rfam family "Bacterial small subunit ribosomal RNA", at positions 523 to 918 of the family's 1533-position model. The record is from RNAcentral.
AUACGUAGGUGGCAAGCGUUGUCCGGAAUUACUGGGUGUAAAGGGAGCGCAGGCGGGCGUGCAAGUCAGCUGUGAAAUCCAUGGGCUUAACCCGUGGGCUGCAGUUGAAACUGUAUGUCUUGAGUGAAGUAGAGGUAGGCGGAAUUCCGAGUGUAGCGGUAAAAUGCGUAGAUAUUCGGAGGAACACCGGUGGCGAAGGCGGCCUACUGGGCUUUAACUGACGCUGAGGCUCGAAAGUGUGGGGAGCAAACAGGAUUAGAUACCCUGGUAGUCCACGCUGUAAACGAUGAAUACUAGGUGUGGGGGGACUGACCCCCUCCGUGCCGCAGUUAACACAAUAAGUAUUCCACCUGGGGAGUACGAUCGCAAGAUUGAAACUCAAAUGAAUUGACGGGG